RNAcentral lists this ribosomal RNA (930 nucleotides) under Triticum aestivum (bread wheat). Its description in RNAcentral is "partial small subunit ribosomal RNA". The record is from RNAcentral. Lineage: Eukaryota; Viridiplantae; Streptophyta; Magnoliopsida; Poales; Poaceae.
AUGGAACAUGUCCCAGUCGGGCUGCAUGAACUCGCCGAGGAAGAGCGUGUUGUAAGCGACGGAGGAGAUGUGGACGGUGUGCGACGCCGGGUCGCGCGGGUAGAAGUCGUCGGAGGCGCGCACGACGGCGGUCUGCUUGGCGCUGUAGAGCAUGUCGGUGUUGUGGCACAUGCAGGAGAUGCAUCCGUUGUCGGGGAAGUUGCGGGCGACGGAGGCCUCGAGCGCGCGGUGGUAGGCGCGUGUGAGCGCGACGCGGCCGCCGUGGCCGGCGCCGAGGGUCUCCACGAUGUUCUGCACGUCCACCUUGACGCCGUCGACGCCGCAGGCGGCCAGGUAGGCGUGGAGCUCGUCGUAGAAGCUGUAGACCUUGCGCGGGUGCACGAGGCCGAGGCCGAGCACGGAGAGCGAGUCCAUGACGAUGUCGGGCUGGUUGCCGGUGACGCCCGGCGACUGCACCGGGUAGGCCAGCGCGGACUCGUAGUGCUCCAUCCCGGCCGCCGACGGCUUGACGCCGCCCCAGUAGCCGGCCAUGGCGUGCCAGACGUAGACGCUCUUGACGCCGUGCUCCUUCUUGGUCUCCUCCACCAGCCGCUUCAGCCCCGGGGUCUCCUCCUGCUGCUCGCUCUGGAACUUGGUGUUCUCCUUGAUGCCGGUGAGCCUGCUCGCGAACUGCGCCCCUUCCUGGACGGCGACGCUCGGGUCUUCCUUGUUCUCGCUGCCGAUCUGCUGCCAGCCGUCGUCAAUGAUGAGGAACCGCGGCGGCGCGCCACCCUCCGCCAGGCUGCGGAGCCCCUGCUUGACGCCGUCGGCCGUCACGUCCGUGUAGAAGGCGUCCCACGUGCACCACCCGAACCAGUCCACAAACGACGGCACCUGCAUAAGCCAAUCCACAAGCACACAAAAAAAUCAAGAUACGAGCGGUGGACUUAA